RNAcentral lists this ribosomal RNA (482 nucleotides) under uncultured bacterium. Its description in RNAcentral is "partial 16S ribosomal RNA". It matches the Rfam family "Bacterial small subunit ribosomal RNA", at positions 30 to 507 of the family's 1533-position model. The record is from RNAcentral.
AUUGAACGCUGGCGGCAUGCCUUACACAUGCAAGUCGAACGGUAACAGGUCUUCGGAUGCUGACGAGUGGCGAACGGGUGAGUAAUACAUCGGAACGUGCCCGAUCGUGGGGGAUAACGAGGCGAAAGCUUUGCUAAUACCGCAUACGAUCUACGGAUGACAGCGGGGGAUCUUCGGACCUCGCGCGGACGGAGCGGCCGAUGGCAGAUUAGGUAGUUGGUGGGAUAAAAGCUUACCAAGCCGACGAUCUGUAGCUGGUCUGAGAGGAUGAUCAGCCACACUGGGACUGAGACACGGCCCAGACUCCUACGGGAGGCAGCAGUGGGGAAUUUUGGACAAAGGGCGAAAGCCUGAUCCAGCCAUGCCGCGUGCAGGAUGAAGGCCUUCGGGUUGUAAACUGCUUUUGUACGGAACGAAAAGCCUCUUUCUAAUAAAGAGGGGUCAUGACGGUACCGUAAGAAUAAGCACCGGCUAACUACGUG